UUCUCCUUUAAGUCUUUUGAAUUCACUUUCGCUCAUACAGAAGCAGGCUCGUUCGUACAGAAUUAUGUGGCUAACAAGGGUCUGUUAGAAGGGCUAAACCAUGUUAGCAAUAGCUAAAAGACAAAUAGAUUUGGAAAUAAGAAUGAAGAAUCAUCACAUUGGCCACUGCACAAUAAAACAAUGGGAAUUGGGUUAGAAAUCACAAAAUUUAACUUUAAAUUUGCUUCUUCCUUCAAUCACAAAAUUGAGAUUUGCUUCUUCCUUCAAAACGCAAAUACAACUAAUUAAUUUUACGGCAUACAGCUAUGUUGCAAACGAUUCCCCGUUUAAUAACAGCGGUAUACUCAUUCCUAGCAGAAACCUUUCUCUGGUCGGUCUGUCCAACUAUAAAGACGCAUCCAAAACGAAAAAGGGAAUGAUGGGAUUGAGUCAUCUGUGAAAAACUGAACUGACUGGUCUGGGCUACUUCCACAAGCUGGGUGUAUAUUGUGCUUCUUUAAGGCAGAAAUUUGAAGUCAUUUGAAUGAUGUUUGGAUAUCGAUGAUAUGGAAAUCUAAUCUUAAUUUUUGGAUUUUUUCAUGAAGGGACAAGACUAUUAAUUACAAAGAACAAAGGAUAAGCAGCUCAUUAUUUAAGAACACCGAGAAAAAUUCUUUUAUUUGCGAAUCCUAAACUGGGCAGUUUUUGUAGACUUUCCAUGGUUGUCAAGGCAUGGACAGAGAUAACAGUACCUCCCGAUAUUUAGAUGAUUUUUCCCACAUUUUUUCACGGAUUUGUCUAAAAAUUGGUAUUUGUGGAUCAUAAUGGUGUCUACUGUUUCCUUUACCCAAAGGUGGAGGGUAAUUAAAGUUCGGCGUGGCCGAACUUAAUGCUUUUUUACCUGUUAUUUCAAUUUCAAUGCAUUUUUGACCUAUUAACAAAUGUUGGAAAUCAAUGCAUUAACAUCCUUGUCUAUUUUAGAAGUGAACCGUUAUAAUAAUAAACAAAACUCGUUUAAACAA
This is a long non-coding RNA of Musca domestica (house fly), 1001 nucleotides long. RefSeq lists it as uncharacterized. The record is from RefSeq and is a predicted model, not a curated record. NCBI's taxonomy places the organism in Eukaryota, Metazoa, Arthropoda, Insecta, Diptera, Muscidae. The transcript has 2 exons.